UUUCCGUAGGUGAACCUGCGGAAGGAUCAUUAAUGUGUUUGGGCCUCACGGCUCUUCAUUCCGACGCUGUGCGCCUUCGGGCUGCACGCUGAGGGAGCAUAUAUCCACCCCUGUGCACACACACGGUGGCGAGCUGGGUAACGGCUCGCCGCUGAUCUUUACACACGUCUAAAAGUCAUUGUAUGUUUAUUUGAGAUGAAAACACAACUUUCAGCAACGGAUCUCUUGGCUCUC
Molecule: unclassified non-coding RNA, 234 nt
Filed under: plant metagenome
Description: partial contains small subunit ribosomal RNA, internal transcribed spacer 1, and 5.8S ribosomal RNA
Source: RNAcentral